This 495-nucleotide ribosomal RNA is filed under the name uncultured bacterium. RNAcentral's name for it is "partial 16S ribosomal RNA". It matches the Rfam family "Bacterial small subunit ribosomal RNA", at positions 28 to 507 of the family's 1533-position model. The record is from RNAcentral.
GACGAACGCUGGCGGCGUGCCUAAUACAUGCAAGUAGAACGCUGAAGGAGGAGCUUGCUCUUCUGGAUGAGUUGCGAACGGGUGAGUAACGCGUAGGUAACCUGCCUGGUAGCGGGGGAUAACUAUUGGAAACGAUAGCUAAUACCGCAUAACAGUAGAUGUUGCAUGACAUUUGCUUAAAAGGUGCAAUUGCACCACUACCAGAUGGACCUGCGUUGUAUUAGCUAGUUGGUGGGGUAACGGCUCACCAAGGCGACGAUACAUAGCCGACCUGAGAGGGUGAUCGGCCACACUGGGACUGAGACACGGCCCAGACUCCUACGGGAGGCAGCAGUAGGGAAUCUUCGGCAAUGGACGGAAGUCUGACCGAGCAACGCCGCGGGAGUGAAGAAGGUUUUCGGAUCGUAAAGCUCUGUUGUAAGAGAAGAACGAGUGUGAGAGUGGAAAGUUCACACUGUGACGGUAGCUUACCAGAAAGGGACGGCUAACUACGUG